RNAcentral lists this ribosomal RNA (441 nucleotides) under uncultured bacterium. RNAcentral describes it as "partial 16S ribosomal RNA". It matches the Rfam family "Bacterial small subunit ribosomal RNA", at positions 338 to 795 of the family's 1533-position model. The record is from RNAcentral.
CCUACGGGAGGCAGCAGUGGGGGAUAUUGCACAAUGGGGGGAAACCCUGAUGCAGCGACGCCGCGUGUGGGAAGACGGUCCUCUGGAUUGUAAACCACUGUCCCCAGGGACGAAGAUGACGGUACCUGGGGAGGAAGCUCCGGCUAACUACGUGCCAGCAGCCGCGGUAAUACGUAGGGAGCGAGCGUUGUCCGGAAUUACUGGGGGUAAAGGGAGCGUAGGCGGGACUGCAAGUUGGGUGUCAAAUCUACCGGCUCAACCGGUAGCCGCACUCAAAACUGCAGUUCUUGAGUGAAGUAGAGGCAGGCGGAAUUCCUAGUGUAGCGGUGAAAUGCGUAGAUAUUAGGAGGAACACCAGUGGCGAAGGCGGCCUGCUGGGCUUUUACUGACGCUGAGGCUCGAAAGUGUGGGGAGCAAACAGGAUUAGAUACCCUAGUAGUC